CUGUGAUGAUUAUUCUCGCCUGGACCGUUAUGCUGACAUUGCAAAGGGAGGCGUAGUUGGUGGCGCUGGGGCAUAGAUAACGCUGGGGAAUAGGGGAAUACUACCAUCAAAAAGCUCACAUAAAGAAUAUUCAAAUAAAACGAAAGCACAAAAUGCUUAGGAAUGAAAGUGUUACAUAAGUGCUGAAGUGCAACAAAAAUUGCAACCAUUUCGAAUAAUACCCUGCACCCUGCACAUAUGCACGCACAUCCACGGAUAUGAAAAGAGAAGUGAAUAAAAAAUUAUAAUUACGAUGUGUAUAAAACUCGCCUGCACAAUUUAAGAAUCCAGAUCGAGAAGCAAGAGCUCGGCUGACUUUGAAUGCGCUAUAACACAGUAUAUUUACUUAUAUAAUCCUGGAUGCUACAAAUGCAAAUUACUCUUGGCAAUUUUUGUGUGAUGACUUUCAAACGUCUGAAUUCAGAGGCUGUUAAGGAAGCGUUGUUUGUUACAGAUGAAAUAUAAUAUGAAAGAGACGCGUCAGUAACAAUUUCUAAAGCUCGGCAACCCACUACGUCCUUUUGCGACAUCAUUUCAUUUUAACAAAUCCGCAACCUGAGUGUUUAAAAAUUUUUCGAUUCCAACACAACUGUUAUGUUUACAGUCGAUCUCAAAGAUCAGUAAGUUUAACUGAGUUUAACUCUCUUAUUGUUCAUAUUCACCAAGUUUACCUGAACUCGCUAAGUCCUAAUGUUUCCACAUGCGAAUAUGCACUUAUGUGCCACCUAAUGCGAAUGAGUAAGCAUAAGUUCCACAAGUAGUUGGGGUCGAGUAACCGUCGAGUGCACACAUCAGGAUGCAUAAAUAAACAAUUUUUUGUACUCAAAAUCAUAACCUAACAACACUCGCAAGACAGACAGCAAAAAACAAAUAAUUUAUGCCGAGAGGUAGGUACUCAGGUUUAUUUUUUUAAUGAAUGGCGAAAUGACGGGAAUAGCUGUAGUCUUUAUUACAUCGUAGCCAAAAUUGAAAAGGCUCACGCAGCCGUGAAGCCAACCAUCGCCAGAGACUUUUUUUACAAACGUACAAAAAUGUGUUCAUAUGUAUAAUAUUAUAGCUAAUACAGACAUUCAUACAUAUGUACGUACAUAUGUAUAUGUUAAAGUAUCGCACUUAGCAUAGCAUCUGCAGAUCUAUCCUGUGUCACAAUUAACACACUCGCACACAGGGACCUCGUAGCACAGCUUACCAGACUUCUUCAAUUGCCAAGUAUUUCUUACUGUCUGUUACCUGCACACUACUUCCUUUUUUAAGCCAAUAUAAAUACUAUAUCAACGUUUAAUCCAACAUCAAUAAUGAUGCGUUUAAUAAAUCUAGGGUCCUCAGCUACGUUCAAGCAACUUAUUUGCGACUUCUACUCAACAUCGUUUUUGCAGGUCUAUUAAAAAGUUCAUGAGAGAUUUCGAUAUCCGCUAUCUCUCUGAUGCCAUCACGAGAAUUUUCAAGCACUGUUUCUUUAACAGCGGUGGAUGGACUACUCGCAUGAAAAGUCUUUGGUGACUUCACGAUUUUCAAUAAUUUGUGCCACUCGAGUAAUUUGGUUCGUAAUAAGGUAGACUCCCUAAGACAAUUCUGCAACAAUUUCAAUGAUUUCCGUAACAGUCCGUGUAAAUUUUGGUGUUACAGCCAGUAUCGAGCCCAUCAGGAGUAACAACAACAGUAAUGUUUAACAGCUUUAAAGGAAUAAAAGGAGAAAAGUAGAGCCUGUGCGACUUGGCCUUCGUAUACAUCCAAAUGGGUUAUGUGUAUUAAAAAAAUGUACAUAUGUGCAUUAAAUUGGAUUAUUUUCCUAUGAAAAUAUGCAAAAAUAAUGCAAUAUUAGUAUUUUUAAAUUUUUGGUCUGUGGUGAACCAGCUAGUGUAAAUGCCCAUACAUAUGUAUGUUGGUAUUGCAACAUAAAAUGUUCCUCCCAACGCCGGAUGAUGAAAAUUUGGAUCUGCCCAGUUUAUGAAAAUCUAAUCGUCAUUGGAAUGACGAAUGAUGGAUAUAAAUUUCAAAAACUUAGUAAUUUCACUACUUUGUCAAGAGAUUGAAUAAUCCGUUUACACAUAAAUAAAAACAUAAGAUUUGUCGCCGGAUUGAAAUUUCUACAUAUUUAUUUUAAAUAAUUCGUUUUUGGAAACAUUUGUUUUUGUAUUAUUGAAUACUGUUGGCUUUGUUUUACGAAUGUCUAUUGUAGUGUUGUUACCUUUGUAAGAAAAAAAUAGAGUGAAUUUGUUUAAAUAAUAUAUAUGAUCAAAUAAUAAAACGCAAUUAUUUAAUUCCGAUAUAAAAAAACAAAUUAGGAAUACAAUCGCUGAGCUAAUUUAGCUAGAAGUGCUCGAUUUGACGUAUAAGACUUCAUUUUGCAGAUACAAAUGUAUGUGCAUAUGUGUGUAGUAAGUUUGUAAUCAGUGCGAAAAACUAGUUUCGGCUUUUAACCCACUGUUCAACCCGGGAAUUCCUCAUAAACACAUGUACUUAUGCCAAAAGUUUAUAUUUUAUUUAAAUUCUCAUUUCACCAGAUCAAGAUAGGUAUAAUUAAAUUUUUAUAUUGUUCGGUUAAAAUAUUGUUCAAUAUUGGAAUUGAUUUAUUACUGAAUUUUUACCAUUGCUUCAGGGUGGACCAAAAGGUGUCCUAAUGCCUAAAUAAUGAGAAAAACUAGAUAAAUAAGCUUUUAUUUUUGCAAUAUAAAAAAAAUAAGUUGAAGUUUGAUUAGAAGUACGAAAAUACUUUUUCGACUACCCAAUAUUUGAAUUUCGGAUUGCGGUUAAAAAGAUGUUCCGAUUUUCGGGUACAGUAAUACGAGUUCAGGUUGUUCAUGACAAAGGUUUUCGGAAACUAUUUUAAAUUUUCAUUAUCGAAAAAUCCUUGCUUCGACCGUAAUCUUGCAUUUCCUAACCCGACAUCGCUCUCACGUACACAUUCAAAUAUGAAGGGACUUAUGGUCCACCCUGUAUUUUGCAUGCCCAUCCACACAUUUGAUCGGGCGCAAUUGAAAAUAUUCCCGCGGUUCGACUUUGAAAUUUAUCAACGGUCUUACACAUACUAUGUUUUUUAUAUUUGAUAAAAGUUGUAUAUUUAUAAUUCAGUUAUUUCAUUCAUUAUAUUUAUUGUGUUUUUCUGGUCAGCUAGGACCGUUUUUAUAUUAAUUUUGCGAUUUUUUUUGUUUUUAUUUUUAAGUUCUGCUUGUCAGCGGUUGUGUCUGACGUAUAUAUAUUUUCAAUUUUUAUUAUAUUUGUUUAAAGUAGCAAAAAAUCAUUGAACGUUUACUUUUUCGCCCUAUUCAAUAUUUUCUUUUACAAGCAAUUCUAUUCUCAUGUUGUUUGUUUGUUUUAUUACAUUCAGAGAGUGGAUGACAGAACUGAGCCGUUCUUUUCGGUUGAUAUUAAUAUUUUUUAUCUGUUUGAAUAACCACACUCCAAAUUUUUCAUUUUUUCAUACGCUUUUGCAAUUUUUUUGUUUGAUUUUUUCAAUUAUUUCUCUCUUACAUACAUGUUAAUUACUUUUGUUUACCUAAGCCUGCCCAAUCGCUUCUCAAGUAUAUAGAAGAUGAAACUCUCUUCAAUUCAACCAAAUGCAUUCAUUACAAAA
Molecule: long non-coding RNA, 3613 nt
Organism: Bactrocera neohumeralis
Lineage: Eukaryota; Metazoa; Arthropoda; Insecta; Diptera; Tephritidae
Exons: 2
Source: RefSeq, a predicted model, not a curated record